ACUAGCUUGUCCAUGGGUGAUGGCUGUGCAAAGCAAUGUCAUUCGGAAACCUCAUUAUCCUAGAGGGCUGCUGGAUGUUUUUGUAUAGCAACACCAUGGUUCUACUUUACCAGAGAGAAUCUUAUCUCCUUUCUCUACCCAGAAAAGGAGAAAAAGGACUAAGAUAACAUGCAUCAGGGAACAAGAAUAAGCCGUUUACAUAAAUAAUGGAAAACUAUUGAUAGUAGGUGUUGCUGGAAUUUGGACCCGGGGGCGACCACUGGGCCGGGAAGGAGGAGCUCUGGUGGGAAUCGGCGAGCGGCGAUCCGGCGGGGCGCGACGUCCUCCGGGAGACCUGCAAGAAGCCGGUGGCCGGGGUUUCCGGCGCCGGCCCUCCGAUGCUUAAGUCAGAGGGGGCAAGUGUAUAAAUCGAGAGAAGUAGUCAAUAUUCAGAAUUUUUUCUCCCCACUAAAAUAGAGAAGUUUCCUUUUAUAGAGGGGGGCUGGGUUACCUGUGAUGUGACGAGGCAAACAGUCUAUCGUAUGAUUGGACAUGUGGUGGAAAUUAAUGCUCGAUCGUGUGAAUCAAUGCUGUUACUGUAGGAGAUUAGGCCGACGUUCUCAAGUCAUCGUAAAGUCAUGCCAUCAUUUGUAGCCACGCAAGUUUGCCGUAAGAGGCUUGGUGUCCGUAGACAGCAGAGGCCAUACGCCUUAAUUGUUGAGUAGGCUAAGUACCUGCAGGGGCCAUGCGCUUUGAUUGUUGAGUAAGCUAAGUGCCUACAGGGGCCAUGCGCUUUGAUUGUUGAGUAAACCGGAUACCUGCAGGAGUCUUACGCAUUGAUUGUUGACCAAGGCAAGGCGUAGCUUUUUCGGUCGCGCUGGGGGGAUGUGACCACAGCGCGCAAGUUGGGCGUUUUUGGGUUGGUAGAGCUGCUCGGAUGCUUCCAGGCCGGAGGAGGUCUGCUCGGCCGGCUCCAGGUCGGAGGAGGUCUGCUCGGCCGGCUCCAUGUCGG
RNAcentral lists this long non-coding RNA (991 nucleotides) under Phoenix dactylifera (date palm). RNAcentral's name for it is "long non-coding RNA (PDAC_LNC016548)". Lineage: Eukaryota; Viridiplantae; Streptophyta; Magnoliopsida; Arecales; Arecaceae. The record is from RNAcentral.